This is a long non-coding RNA of Equus asinus (donkey), 3553 nucleotides long. The record is from Ensembl. Lineage: Eukaryota; Metazoa; Chordata; Mammalia; Perissodactyla; Equidae.
CUUGUCUGAACAAAGUGAUUUCAAAAUUUGAGCUUAAAAUGACACCCUGAAAUCCAGUCAAUGUGCCUCAUUACUUUUCAGAGAACAUUAUUCUUGAGAGAAUGUUGGCUUGACAUGUGAAAACUUUGAAUACUUAGAAAUGGCAGGUGUAGUAGUACACUUUGCCAGUUACUCAGUUACCCUUUUUUAUUUUCAUAGAUAUUCUGGGAUAAUUCCUUUUUUUUUUUUUUUUUUUACUGUAUAUAUGUGCAUGCUGAUGAAAGCAAAAAAGAAAGCACAUCCUUGGAUCUGAGAAGGCACGCGUGUGGUGAGAUGGAAGGAAGGACACGCAAAAAGGAAAUUUAGCACCUCUUGGAUCAAACCUUGAAUGCCACAGUGCUAGGUGUUUAACUGAUGUCCAGGAAGGAGAGAAACUAAUAUUAUGAUGAAAUACAAUGAAUGUGUUGGAUAUGGUGGAAGAAAAACAUUUGCAGAUAAUCUGAGUACAGCUGUGACAUCAUCAGGAACAUUCCUCUUUUAUGGAGUUCCUUAAUUCAUAAGUCUUAACCGUGAAUCAAAGGAGAUGAUAAUUCCGAGAAAAGAUACUUUACCAAGUUCAUUUUUAAUCCCAAGAAUCGGUGCCACUGGAUCUCUAUUGCAAUAUUCCUCAUUCAGGUGUUCGUCACUGCCAUCUCUGGUCCUAGGAGUACCCCUUGGCGAUAUGAUUGUGAUGACUGAAUAGGAAACUGAUGCCAUUUCUUCUGACACCAUCUUCAUCAAACCAAAAGAUGGUCUUCAUAAUGUAUGGAGACUCUUUCGUGUGUUGCAGUGGACACUCCUUGCAGAUCAGAAAAACCGGACUGAGAAAGCUCAUGUUUUAAAGUAAUCUAAAGAGUGUAAUUGGAGAGAAUUGUAACCAGGCCUGUUGACAGUUUUCAUUGUUGCCAUUGGACUAAAUCUCAGGAGCUUGAAUGCCAGAGACGUUAUUACACAGAAUCUCAGGAUGGUGUAAUUGCAAGGCUUCAUUUCAGUGCUCCCAUAAGUAUUAAGUGCAUGUAUUUAUAAUUUUCACUUAUCACAGGAUCAACUUAAAAUUAUUUCAUAAAAAAUCAUCUUGUUCAAGAUUUUAAAGGUAUAGAAAUUUGUGAAGUAUGGUAUUUUUAACUCAUGCCCUUUUCCCCUCAUAAUUCUAUUCUCCAGCGUUAUCUACUGUCAGUGUAGUUUUGUGCACAUCUUUUUGGGGUGUGUUGAUAAACAGAUUGAUAUGCAACUCUCUUUUUGGCCCAUAUUAUGUCUAUAAAUUUUCUAUGCCGUAAAAAGGCAUACAGAUAAAUUAUUUUGAUAAUUUCAGAGAAUUGGAACUGCUAGGACUAGGGAUGUCCAAAAAUUUAUGUUUUGAGUCAAAACUACAGCUUUCCCCCUAAUCAUAGAGAGUCUUCAUCAAUAUUGUCUCCCAGUGUUUGUUCAUGAGAGUUCUGUUUCCUAAAAUGGUACACAUGUUAGAUGUCAGUGUUUUAAUCGUUAACAAUGCGAUAUUACGAAGAAAUUGCUUUUUUUCUUCUCUUGUUUGUCUCCAUCAUCUUCGUAUAUCCUUAAUCCUUACUUGUCAUUUGUGUUAUUUCAUUUUCCUCUGCUUUUUGUUUUUUUCCAUUUCCCUUGGAGUAUGAGUGUCUGUGUUGCUCAUUUCUAAAAACUCAUUUAUAACUAAAGAUGUUAACCAUAUGUCAUGCAUUGCAAGUGAAAUACCAUGUUUUCUUUUCGGCAUCAUUUUACUGUGGUGUUUUAUUUUUUGGUUGUACAAAAGUUAUGUAUUGAAAUACAAUAAUGUUCUGUUUUAUGCCUUUUGAGUUUUGUGUUUUUCUUUUAAAAACAUGUUUGCAUUAGUAUCAUACAUUUCUUUCUCUGUAUUUUCUAAUACUUUUCAUUUUGUCCUUUUAUUUUUCCAUUAAUCAUUACCAUGGUAUUUAAAGUAUUACAUACUCAAAUUGUUUCCCUUGACUUAAGCAAUUACUGCUUAAUUUAAAUUCUGUAAUGAUAUGGAAAUUCCCACAUAAUUGGCUACAUUUCUAUUUAUUUGCUUUAUCUUAUAUUGAUACUUUAAAAUUACCGAUGGUUUCUAGUCUUAGCUAUUCCAUUGAAUUCUCUCAUUUCUCAUAAUUUUUCAGAAUAUUCCCUGUCUACAUUCAAAUUUUUUCCCUCAGUUGACGCUUAAAAUUAUUUUCCAAGUUGGAAAAAAAUGCAAUUUUAAUUUCAUUUGCACCAAAUUUAAUAGAGUAAUUAGGAGAGAAUUAGAUCUCUUUAACUCAGCCUUCCUAUCCAACUGCAAGGUAUGUGUUUCUAUUUUUAAUUAAAUUAUGUGGGAAUAUUGCUAGUGUAGUUUUAUUUUCUUAUUUUUUGAUUAAUCCCAACUCAUCUCAUACUUUUGUCAGUGUAGCGAUGGGGAUCAUACACUCAGUUUUUCUUAUUAAUAUGUGAAAGCCAUUUCAUGUACUUUUCUAGUGACGUUUAAUUGAAAUACCAACAUUAUGGUUUUCUUUUUUCACAAUUCAUAGGUGGUUUCAGAAUGUAUGAAAGCAGAAAGUGCCCUUGGUUAUUUCAUUAUUAAUACUAAUCCUGUUAAAGGUUUACUUAUGAGUCAUUUUAGGAAACAGCUUCCUUCCUUUCAUUGAGGAUUUUCCACUAAAUUUGAUGACAAGUUUAAUAAAAUGUCUUGUGUUUUACAGUUGAUCAUACUUGCCAUUAUAAUUAUUGACUAGGGUAAAAAUUAACUUUUUCUAAAAGUGAACAUUCUUGCAUCCAGUGAAUGAAUGAACUUAAUUGUGUAUAUGUGUAAUUAUAUAUAUAAAUAUAUAUGUAUGUAAAUACACACUUCCCUAUUAUAAUCAUUAUAAUUUUGUUUGCGAUUUCUGAAAAAAAUCUUAAACAACUUUAUUUUGUUUUGGUCAGGGUUUUGUGUUUGGUUAACUGGCUCUACUGAAAGUGUUUUGUGUAUUUUUGAUAUAGACUGGAAAGAAGUAUUGCCAUUAUUGCUUUAAUUUUUAUUUUGAAAUAAUUUUUGACACACAAAACUAUUGCAAAAGUAGUACGUAGUUUGUAAAAAUAUUCUUUAGAUUCCUCUUAUGUUAGCAAGUUUCAUAUGCAUGAUACAAUUAUCUAAACCAGGACAUUACCAUUGACGUACUGUUGUUAACUGAUCCUUUUUAUAGGUCCAGGAGUUAACGUGAAUGUUUGACCAUGCUUUCAAUUUCCAUGAGUCACAGUCAUGGGAUUUCUUAAAAUACAUCCCAAAUAGAAUCUGAUAAGGCACUUCUAUUUUCCCAUCUCCCAUGCAAGAAAUAACAACUUAAGACUUAGUUUUCUCUUAUAAUUUAUUCCGAAUGUAUUUUGUUAUAUCUCAGUAUUUGGGGCACCAGUAUUUUUGAAACACAAUCAUCAAACUACCUGUUGAAAAGUAUAAAAUGCAAUAAUAAUUCCUUAUAUUGUUAAUCACAAUGAAUAAUCAGUACCACCUAUGAAAUGCUUUUUGGUAAAAAAGUCUUAUUCCAAUUUGUCUUAUGUGUUUAAUUAAAAGUUA